UUCCGGCUUCAGGGGGUUCACGACGGC
This 27-nucleotide non-coding RNA is filed under the name Bombyx mori (domestic silkworm). The record is from RNAcentral. Lineage: Eukaryota; Metazoa; Arthropoda; Insecta; Lepidoptera; Bombycidae.